AACAAAAGGAAACUACAGCUGCUUGCUUCACUACCUUCAGAACAAGGGGAACAGUUUGAAAGUCCCGAAUACUGAAAUAUGUCAAAAACGUAACUUAUAGAUUUUGUUAACACUGUCAGACAAGAAUUUAAAACGGUCUUGUGCAGUUUUGAUGAAAUAUGAAAGAUGAUAUAGGCUUUGUGCAUGUUCUGUACCCGUCAAAUUCUGAUUAGGGAAAUGUUACUUACGUGUUCUACAGACGUCGGUAAAUAUUUCAUAAUUGAAAACCGAACCUUUUGAAAGAC
RNAcentral lists this long non-coding RNA (284 nucleotides) under Mytilus galloprovincialis (Mediterranean mussel). Lineage: Eukaryota; Metazoa; Mollusca; Bivalvia; Mytilida; Mytilidae. The record is from RNAcentral.